This 464-nucleotide ribosomal RNA is filed under the name uncultured bacterium. RNAcentral's name for it is "partial 16S ribosomal RNA". It matches the Rfam family "Bacterial small subunit ribosomal RNA", at positions 338 to 795 of the family's 1533-position model. The record is from RNAcentral.
CCUACGGGGAGCUGCAGUGGGGAAUCUUCCGCAAUGGGCGAAAGCCUGACGGAGCAACGCCGCGUGAUCGAAUGAAGGCCUUCGGGUUGUAAAGAUCUGUUGACAGGGACUAAUAAGCAAUGCGAAUAGUUUUGUGUAUGACGGUACCUGUUUAGAAAGCUCCGGCUAACUACGUGCCAGCAGCCGCGGAAAUACGUAGGGAGCAAGCGUUGUCCGGAAUUACUGGGCGUAAAGGGCGCGUAGGUGGGUGCUUAAGUCAGGUGUGAAAGCUCCGGGCUCAACCGGGAGACUGCACUUGAAACUGGGUGUCUUGAGUGCAGGAGAGGAAAGUGGAAUUCGUGGUGUAGCGGUGAAAUGCAUAGAUAUUAGGAAGAACACCAGUGGCGAAGGCGACUUUCUGGACUGUACCUGACGCUGAUGCGCGAAAGCGUGGGUAGCGAACGGGAUUAGAUACCCUGGUAGUC